AUCGAACGCUGGCGGCAUGCCUUACACAUGCAAGUCGAACGGCAGCACGGGUGCUUGCCCCUGGUGGCGAGUGGCGAACGGGUGAGUAAUACAUCGGAACAUGUCCUGUAGCGGGGGAUAGCCCGGCGAAAGCCGGAUUAAUACCGCAUACGAUCUACGGAUGAAAGCGGGGGACCUUCGGGCCUCGCGCUAUAGGGUUGGCCGAUGGCUGAUUAGCUAGUUGGUGGGGUAAAGGCCUACCAAGGCGACGAUCAGUAGCUGGUCUGAGAGGACGACCAGCCACACUGGGACUGAGACACGGCCCAGACUCCUACGGGAGGCAGCAGUGGGGAAUCUUGGACAAUGGGCGAAAGCCUGAUCCAGCAAUGCCGCGUGUGUGAAGAAGGCCUUCGGGUUGUAAAGCACUUUUGUCCGGAAAGAAAUCCUUGGCCCUAAUACGGUCGGGGGAUGACGGUACCGGAAGAAUAAGCACCGGCUAACUACGUG
RNAcentral lists this ribosomal RNA (486 nucleotides) under uncultured bacterium. RNAcentral's name for it is "partial 16S ribosomal RNA". It matches the Rfam family "Bacterial small subunit ribosomal RNA", at positions 30 to 507 of the family's 1533-position model. The record is from RNAcentral.